Dioscorea cayenensis subsp. rotundata (Guinea yam) is the source of this 108-nucleotide small nucleolar RNA. The record is from RefSeq and is a predicted model, not a curated record. NCBI's taxonomy places the organism in Eukaryota, Viridiplantae, Streptophyta, Magnoliopsida, Dioscoreales, Dioscoreaceae.
AACCCAUGUUGAGAACAUUUCCGAAGGAGUUCCUUAAACCUAUCGCAUGUCUCAAAAAUAGACUCAAAUUUCAUUUCCACAAAGAAGGAUAUUUCAUUCCUAAAGCAU